CAGUUUGGAGGGGCGUAGAAAGGAGGCCAUAUUGUACAGUUAAAUUGAAAGAACGAAAAUAAUUAUAUCAUCGUAUAGUUGUGCCUGUUUCGUUCCGUAUUUUUACUGUACACGUUCGCAACGGUAUCGUUUGAUUAUCGCAAUUAAAGUAAUAGUGUACAGGGACCGAUUUCAGGUUCCUACAUUUUUUGUAAAUAACUGCAAGUCGUAGUAGUGUAUCCUGAUAUCUAGGUACCGUCCGUCAGUCUACUAAAGGGGUUUAUUGCUCCGGACGAGAUGGGCACUCGGGAUGAUGAAUACGAUUAUUUAUUUAAAGUUGUUCUUAUUGGUGACUCAGGAGUAGGAAAAAGUAAUCUGUUAUCAAGAUUUACGAGAAAUGAAUUCAACUUAGAAUCAAAAUCGACUAUAGGAGUUGAAUUUGCUACACGUAGUAUACAAGUAGAUGGAAAAACUAUUAAAGCUCAGAUUUGGGACACAGCUGGACAAGAACGUUACCGUGCUAUUACAUCGGCGUACUAUCGUGGUGCGGUUGGAGCUCUGUUGGUAUAUGAUAUCGCAAAGCAUCUAACAUAUGAAAAUGUGGAAAGAUGGUUGCGGGAAUUACGGGACCAUGCUGACCAAAACAUUGUCAUUAUGUUGGUGGGAAACAAAUCUGACUUAAGGCAUCUACGUGCAGUUCCAACCGAUGAAGCAAAAGCAUUUGCAGAGAGAAAUGGCCUCUCUUUCAUUGAAACUUCUGCUUUAGACUCUACCAAUGUUGAGACAGCAUUUCAAAAUAUAUUAACAGAAAUCUACAGAAUCGUAUCGCAGAAACAGAUACGCGAUCCACCUGAAGGUGAUACAAUCCGGCCACAGAACGUAGAACCUAUCGACGUGAAACCAACAAUGAAUUCAGAGGGAAUGCGUAAGCCUUGCUGCCAGUGACUCACCUUGCUGCUUAAAAUUGUCAAGAAAUCAUCAUCUAUCGAAGACAAAGAUAAUGGUCUGUUGAGUUGGCCAAAAUACUUUCCAAACAAUAGAAGUAUGUAACACAGCAAAUGCUCUAUAGAGGCAUAAAGAUGGACAUACAAAGAGGCACAGGCGAAAAGAAAAGUGGUCGAUGGUAAACGUAACAGGUGCAUACAGUACAAGAGUCAAGACUAUUUACGGUUAUAAGUAUACCCGACUAAGUUUCCCAAAUAAUCCGGUGUUCUGGAAAGGAAUAGAUUUCUACUCUAUUGCUUGGAGACAAAUAGUAGACAAAAGUGUGUUGUUGCGAGCCGUACUUAAAAGUAUUCUUUUACAUCCUUGUUCACGGUCGCUUGGCUUCGUUAAAACACCCUAACCAGACGUCGCUUUCUCUGUAUCAGGAGAUGAGCAAAUACAUAUGCGUUCUCUUACCGGGAACACUAGGGAAACAUUAUACUUCUCAAGUUCCUUCGGAUUAUUUGGGAAAAUGUAUUGUAACUUCGCCGCUAGAAAAAGAAAAGAAAAAGAUCGAGGAGUCUAGCGACACUUAUACACCAUAGCAGAUACAUACGAAUAAAUCAUAACACGAUCGUACAACCUAAAAUACAUCAUCAGAAAUAUUUACGAAGGGCGAAAGUAUGUACGCACUUAUUCUGUCUUCGAAAUUCAUCUCUCCGUCUCUUUCUGUCUCUAUCUAUUGCUCCCUCCUCCCUCUGUUCCAAAUUUUUCUUUGUCUCUCUGAUACGUUACAAUAUGUCAAUGUUGUAUUACUGCUUCUUUGUAAUACAUGUGUACUUCUACUCAACACGUAGUGAGCGAUCGUGAAUAUAUGAAUGAUUUAUAAUAUUAUAUAAAUAAGAUUCGUCUGAAAUAUUUGGUUAAAACUUGGAGGUAUAGUCUGCGAAUUGCAAAGACGAUGGAAAUUUUUAUAGUUGUAUUGGUCUCCAUAAUGUUGUGUUGAUAAAAUGUAUAAAAUAUUUGCAAUGUUAUUGUUACAGAUUAUUUGUCCCUCCACGAGAAAGCUACUUGAAGCAUCCUUGAAUAAAGAGAGCAAAGGAUAAUUUAUGGAAGCCAUAAUUUUUGUCAAAAUUAAAAUCUUAAAGAUUGAACAUUAAUAUUAUAAAUUAUUGAAGAGAAAUGAGAACGGGGAAAGAAGCAAUAGUUAAGAGGGAAAUUUGUAUACAGUUUUAAAAAAAAUGUUUAAAAUAGAGGGAAGUAUCUAUCAUUGUAUAUUAAAUGCAAAUCUCUUUCAUCCUUACAAUUAGUGGUGCAUAUUCUCAAAAUUUAACCAAAUAUUUUAGACACAAUCUACACAGUAACACAUGAAGUCUUGCGGUUAAAUAUACAGGUGCACAACAUAGAAGAAACAAAAAGAACGAUAAUAGCAAAAAACUGCUUACUAUCGAACAUACAAGAAAGCAAUGAUGAACAAAGCUGAAUCGGAUUUAACACUUUAUUGUUGCUCACUCUCUGCUUUCGAAUUUGCACCGUAGCGUUGACCUUGAAGUACGAUAAGGAGCAUGUCCACAAAAAAAGGCUUAUAAAAGUACUUUAUUUUUUUCUCUUCCGGAAAGAGAAGAAAAAAAAGAAAGAAAACAAACUGAAAGAGAACAUGAGAAUCAUCGUAGAUACACAAAUUGAAACUAUGCGUAAGUGAUGAGAAAGUACGCGAGAAACAGUCGUGAUAUUGUAUCGUACUUUCUAGCGUCUAAUAAGUAUUGCUUUAAUGUGUGUAGCCGCAAUGUAAUCUGUUAUCAUUACGAGUCCUCGUUGUAUCUUGAUGAAUAAAUAGAGAGUGAGUAAAACGUUGAAAUAUUAAGAUAUCUAAACCUCGUUCCGUUGUGCGAGGCCUUCAAUGGUUCGUGUAAUAAAAUAUCAUCGAGCCAAUUGUCCAGAGACAUGGAAAACAGUCUGUUCAAGAUACGGGGGAAUAUACUUAAUAACGAAUUUUACAAUACUUUUUAUGAUACUGCCAUUCAUGAUUUUUAUAGUGCUUUAUGAAACAGGUAAACCUCGUCGAUUUCAGCAACCUUCACAUGUUAUUAAGGUUACAAGCUCUUGAAUAAUUUUGCCUAUAUCGCUGUUCAAGUUACAGUCACCUAACAAAAAUUCGUUAUACAAUUUUAUUUAGUAAUGUACAAAUUCGUAAGAACUUUAGAAUACUUAAAAUGUACACCAUUAUCAAAAUCUGUUUACGAUAGCUGGCAGGCAGAAUUAUUCACAAAAUUGACCUUCAAACACGUAUCAAGGUCACUGAAAUCGACGAGGUUCACAUUCUCCGAUUAAAGGUUGUAUUCAUUUUUAUAUAAAAAUUAAACAUAAUGAGAGAACAUUGUUUUAUUUCGUUACUUAUAUAAAUGUUUGUAAAAAAAAUCACAUAUAACGGUUACGUUCUUUUAUUUUGUGGAGUUCAACCUGAAUCAAUUAUUUUUAGUUACGUCACGUAACGGUAAUUUUAAACGUGAUCGAAAUACUAUUUUAAAAAUAGCACGAAUGUCAUUUAAAAUAUUCGUCUUCUUCGAUGAUAAAAGGAAUUUCAUAUUACUUUUAACUAUAAUGUUGUAAAAAAACUAUAGUCAAAUGUUUAUACUAUUUUAACACAAUUAAUGCAAGAAGUAGAAUAAUCACUUCCAGUAUGUUCCCUCGUAAAAACAAUCAGCUUACAAUUCUUUUUAAAAUAAUGAUAAUAAAAAAUACCAUUUUCAUGUCGACUUGCGAUAAAGUAACGACGAAAUGGAAAACGUGUUUUCCCUCCUGGUAUAUACUUCUUUAUUUUAUUUUGUACCCUUAGGUUACAAAACACGGCCCCUAUGGCACUUUGUGGUGUGAGUUGCCGUUAUGUUGAGCGAGAAUGAAUCUGUACGAACGGGAUUUAGAAUGAUAAAUUAGACAUUAUUGAACUCAGUUUAUUCUCUGUUGAUUCGAUAUAUAAAAAAUGGGGUUGCCGAGUCCACAGAAUAACGCGAGAUUUUAUUAAUCAAUGCUUUGUACUUUAUAAUUUUAUUAAUAAAAUCACUUUUGCUUUGAACACGUA
This 3982-nucleotide unclassified non-coding RNA is filed under the name Megachile rotundata (alfalfa leafcutting bee). Its description in RNAcentral is "ras-related protein Rab-11A, transcript variant X15". Lineage: Eukaryota; Metazoa; Arthropoda; Insecta; Hymenoptera; Megachilidae. The record is from RNAcentral.